ACAAAGGCUCUUUUAAGAGCCACCUAAAUAUCAAUGAAAGAAAUUU
This is a non-coding RNA of Danio rerio (zebrafish), 46 nucleotides long. The record is from Rfam. Lineage: Eukaryota; Metazoa; Chordata; Actinopteri; Cypriniformes; Danionidae.